GUGGGAGGGGGCUUGCUCCCGAUGACGGUGGGUCAGUUACACAUAGGCUGCCUGACACACUGCUAUCGGGAGCAAGCCCCCUCCCAC
Molecule: unclassified non-coding RNA, 87 nt
Filed under: Pseudomonas grimontii
Lineage: Bacteria; Pseudomonadati; Pseudomonadota; Gammaproteobacteria; Pseudomonadales; Pseudomonadaceae
Source: RNAcentral